Long non-coding RNA from Leptonychotes weddellii (Weddell seal), 319 nucleotides. RefSeq lists it as uncharacterized. The record is from RefSeq and is a predicted model, not a curated record. Lineage: Eukaryota; Metazoa; Chordata; Mammalia; Carnivora; Phocidae.
CUGAGAGGAGGUUGGAGGUCGGUUUCCGGAAGGAAGAAGGGAGGGAUUCUGGGGGCAAGCCACAGAUGUCCUCAACGUGGGGGAGGCCCUCUGGCUGCUGGCUGUUCCCGAGGCACAUCCUGUCUUGCUGGUGCUGCUUCAUCCCUGGAAUGCCCCCAUGGGCCUAAUAGCUACCAUUUAUUGUGCUCCCAACACAUGCCAACCCUGCGCUCCUCAUUCAGCCUCAGAGCUGUACACAUCACCGCCCCUUCUAGGGACAGGCAAACAAGCUCUCAGAGAAGUCAGUUCUGGGGGUCAGAAGUCCAAAAUGAGGGGCGCC